UAUGUCUGCCGACCAUCACCU
Molecule: microRNA, 21 nt
Filed under: Dasypus novemcinctus (nine-banded armadillo)
Lineage: Eukaryota; Metazoa; Chordata; Mammalia; Cingulata; Dasypodidae
Also listed under: 1 other name
Description: dno-miR-654-3p
Gene: dno-miR-654-3p
Source: miRBase by way of RNAcentral